Diorhabda carinulata is the source of this 824-nucleotide long non-coding RNA. RefSeq lists it as uncharacterized. The transcript has 2 exons. Lineage: Eukaryota; Metazoa; Arthropoda; Insecta; Coleoptera; Chrysomelidae. The record is from RefSeq and is a predicted model, not a curated record.
GAUGGCUUCAAUAAAAGAGCUACGUGAUAUUCUAGUGAAACCCUUCACGAAUUCCAAGUGGCAACAGGUCUUCCGCAAGAUAUUUACCAACAACUUCAAGCUCAAUAUUGAAUUUUGAGUUCCGUACGUCUUUAUGUGGAAUUUAAAUCUUUACUUUCGACUAAAAUGGUCCGUAUUCGUGUCAAUAUUGAUUUUAUCAGAGGUUUAGAUAAAAUUAGUAACCUGUUGACUAAUUUUUCUUCAAAACGCUUUCAUAUUGUUAGCUCUUCCCAAUUUUCACCUAUUAUCUCGAGAGACACUUUUCUAGUUUCCUGAGCUUUUGCUUCGUAAUUGGACAUCAUAAAGUGGAAGGUAUCUCUAAAGUAGAUAGAUUUGUGGAACCAAGAACUGAAAGAGAAAGCGCGCCGACAUUUUUAAAAGAUGCUAUUGACCCGGGAAUCACAGCCGAACAUCAUGAUCAAACAUAACUAAAUUCGGGAAACAUUCAAUUUAGAAUAUUGUUGGAAUGAUUUUACUUUUAGCUUGAGAUUCCAAAAAUAGAAAGUGUCAAAAAACAUUUAUCGCAAAGAGUGUGAAGGAUAUGAAGAAACGAUCGAAUAUCUGCUCUGUUGGGGCUUCUCCUGGAUGAAGAAACGACACAGUUUUUAGAAGAUAACCGAGAUAAAAAUACUGGAUACUGUGUCGAAGAGGAAAAUUCUCUAGUAGUAACAUUGUUAAAUAGAAAUGAUCUUCCAGGUUUGGAACUACGUCUAGAAGAAUAGAGGUUUUUAUCAAGUUCAGUUCUUUGUAACUAUAUCUAAAUAAAAGGUCGUUUGUUAAGCCUU